CUAGCCGUAAACGAUGGGUACUAGGUGUGGGAGGUAUCGACCCCUUCCGUGCCGGAGUUAACGCAAUAAGUACCCCGCCUGGGGACUACGAUCGCAAGAUUGAAACUCAAAGGAAUUGACGGGGGCCCGCACAAGCGGUGGAGUAUGUGGUUUAAUUCGACGCAACGCGAAGAACCUUACCAGGGCUUGACAUUGAGUGAAAGACUAAGAGAUUAGUUCCUCAUCUUCGGAUGACACAAAAACAGGUGG
This 249-nucleotide ribosomal RNA is filed under the name uncultured bacterium. RNAcentral describes it as "partial 16S ribosomal RNA". It matches the Rfam family "Bacterial small subunit ribosomal RNA", at positions 796 to 1041 of the family's 1533-position model. The record is from RNAcentral.